This 79-nucleotide non-coding RNA is filed under the name unclassified sequences. Its description in RNAcentral is "RT-18 RNA". It matches the Rfam family "RT-18 RNA". From Rfam's summary of the family: Clostridiales (Firmicutes). The record is from Rfam by way of RNAcentral.
CAGCCCUAGCUGAAAAUUAGUCGAACUGGACUGGCUUAGUAGUUCCUUUUGAAUCGAAAAGUCGGUAGACAAAAAUAAG